This 301-nucleotide ribosomal RNA is filed under the name uncultured bacterium. RNAcentral's name for it is "partial 16S ribosomal RNA". It matches the Rfam family "Bacterial small subunit ribosomal RNA", at positions 509 to 809 of the family's 1533-position model. The record is from RNAcentral.
CAGUCGCCGCGGGAAUACAGAGGGUGCAAGCGUUAAUCGGAAUUACUGGGCGUAAAGCGCGCGUAGGUGGUUUGUUAAGUUGGAUGUGAAAUCCCCGGGCUCAACCUGGGAACUGCAUCCAAAACUGGCAAGCUAGAGUAUGGUAGAGGGUGGUGGAAUUUCCUGUGUAGCGGUGAAAUGCGUAGAUAUAGGAAGGAACACCAGUGGCGAAGGCGACCACCUGGACUGAUACUGACACUGAGGUGCGAAAGCGUGGGGAGCAAACAGGAUUAGAUACCCCUGUAGUCCCUGUCUCUUAUAA